This 253-nucleotide ribosomal RNA is filed under the name uncultured bacterium. Its description in RNAcentral is "partial 16S ribosomal RNA". It matches the Rfam family "Bacterial small subunit ribosomal RNA", at positions 524 to 776 of the family's 1533-position model. The record is from RNAcentral.
UACAGAGGGUGCAAGCGUUGUUCGGAAUUAUUGGGCGUAAAGGGCGCGUAGGCGGUGCCACAAGUCACCUGUGAAAUCUCCGGGCUCAACUCGGAGCCUGCUAGGGAAACUGCCGUGCUUGAGUGUGGGAGAGGUGAGUGGAAUUCCCGGUGUAGCGGUGAAAUGCGUAGAUAUCUGGAGGAACACCGGUGGCGAAGGCGGCAUCCUGGACCAACACUGACACUGAGGAGCGAAAGCCAGGGGAGCAAACGGG